GAUGAACGCUGGCGGCGUGCCUAAUACAUGCAAGUCGAGCGAACAGAUGAGGAGCUUGCUCCUCUGACGUUAGCGGCGGACGGGUGAGUAACACGUGGAUAACCUACCUAUAAGACUGGGAUAACUUCGGGAAACCGGAGCUAAUACCGGAUAAUAUAUUGAACCGCAUGGUUCAAUAGUGAAAGACGGUUUUGCUGUCACUUAUAGAUGGAUCCGCGCCGCAUUAGCUAGUUGGUAAGGUAACGGCUUACCAAGGCAACGAUGCGUAGCCGACCUGAGAGGGUGAUCGGCCACACUGGAACUGAGACACGGUCCAGACUCCGACGGGAGGCAGCAGUAGGGAAUCUUCCGCAAUGGGCGAAAGCCUGACGGAGAAACGCCGCGUGAGUGAUGAAGGUCUUCGGAUCGUAAAACUCUGUUAUUAGGGAAGAACAAAUGUGUAAGUAACUAUGCACGUCUUGACGGUACCUAAUCAGAAAGCCACGGCUAACUACGUG
Molecule: ribosomal RNA, 497 nt
Filed under: uncultured bacterium
Lineage: Bacteria
Description: partial 16S ribosomal RNA
Rfam family: Bacterial small subunit ribosomal RNA
Source: RNAcentral